GACAGAGGAGGCGAGCGUUAUCCGGAGUCAUUGGGCGUAAAGGGUACGUAGGCGGCUAGUCAAGUCUGAGGUUAAAGACCACAGCUUAACUGUGGGAAGGCCUUGGAGACUGACUGGCUAGAGUGGGGCAGGGGUUGCGGGAAUUCCCGGGGUAGCGGUGAAAUGCGUAGAUAUCGGGAAGAACACCUGAGGCGAAAGCGCGCAACUGGGCCCUGACUGACGCUGAGGUACGAAAGCUAGGGGAGCGAAUGGG
This 253-nucleotide ribosomal RNA is filed under the name uncultured bacterium. Its description in RNAcentral is "partial 16S ribosomal RNA". It matches the Rfam family "Bacterial small subunit ribosomal RNA", at positions 524 to 776 of the family's 1533-position model. The record is from RNAcentral.